UGUUUGUGUUGUCGCUUUGUAUAGGAUACGUGUUGUUAUGUCGGCUGUUUCCAUUUUGUGUGUGUUUUCUCUGUGUUGUCUCUUUGUAUUGUGUACAUGUUGUUGUGUCUAUUGUUUCCAUGUUCUGUAUGUGUUGUGUGUGUGUGUUGUCUCUUUGUAUUGUGUACGUGUUGUUGUGUCUAUUGUUUCCAUGUUCCGUAUGUGUUGUGUGUGUGUGUUGUCUCUUUGUAUUGUGUACAAACGUGUUGUUGUGUCUAUUGUUUCCAUGUUCUGUAUGUGUUGUGUGUGUGUGUUGUCUCUUUGUAUUGUGUACAAACGUGUUGUUGUGUCUAUUGUUUCCAUGUUCUGUAUGUGUUGUGUGUGUGUGUUGUCUCUUUGUAUUGUGUACAAACGUGUUGUUGUGUCUAUUGUUUCCAUGUUCCGUAUGUGUUGUGUGUGUGUGUUGUCUCUUUGUAUUGUGUACGUGUUGUUGUGUCUAUUGUUUCCAUGUUCUGUAUGCGUUGUGUGUGUGUGUUGUCUCUUUGUAUUGUGUACAAACGUGUUGUUGUGUCUAUUGUUUCCAUGUUCCGUAUGUGUUGUGUGUGUUUUCUCUCUGUUGUCUCUUAGUAUUUUGUACGUGUUGUUGUGUCUAUUGUUUCCAUGUUCUGUAUGCGUUGUGUGUGUGUGUUGUCUCUUUGUAUUGUGUACAAACGUGUUGUUGUGUCUAUUGUUUCCAUGUUCCGUAUGUGUUGUGUGUGUUUUCUCUCUGUUGUCUCUUAGUAUUGUGUACGUGUUGUUGUGUCUAUUGUUUCCAUGUUCCGUAUGUGUUGUGUGUGAUUUCUCUCUGUUGUCUCUUUGUAUUGUGUACGUGUUGUUGUGUCUAUUGUUUCCAUGUUCUGUAUGUGUUGUGUGUGUUGUCUCUUUGUAUUGUGUACAAACGUGUUGUUGUGUCUAUUGUUUCCAUGUUCUGUAUGUGUUGUGUGUGUUGUCUCUUUGUAUUGUGUACAAACGUGUUGUUGUGUCUAUUGUUUCCAUGUUCCGUAUGUGUUGUGUGUGUUGUCUCUUUGUAUUGUGUACAAACGUGUUGUUGUGUCUAUUGUUUCCAUGUUCCGUAUGUGUUGUGUGUGUUUUCUCUCUGUUGUCUCUUAGUAUUGUGUACGUGUUGUUGUGUCUAUUGUUUCCAUGUUCUGAAUGUGUUGUGUGUGUUGUCUCUUUGUAUUGUGUACAAACGUGUUGUUGUGUCUAUUGUUUCCAUGUUCCGUAUGUGUUGUGUGUGUUGUCUCUUUGUAUUGUGUACGUGUUGUUGUGUCUAUUGUUUCCAUGUUCUGUAUGUGUUGUGUGUGUUGUCUCUUUGUAUCGUGUACAAACGUGUUGUUGUGUCUAUUGUUUCCAUGUUCCGUAUGUGUUGUGUGUGUUUUCUCUCUGUUGUCUCUUAGUAUUGUGUAUGUGAUGUUGUGUCUAUUGUUUCCAUGUUCGGUAUGUGUUGUGUGUGUUGUCUCUUUGUAUUGUGUACAAACGUGUUGUUGUGUCUAUUGUUUCCAUGUUCCGUAUGUGUUGUGUGUGUUUUCUCUCUGUUGUCUCUUAGUAUUGUGUACGUGUUGUUGUGUCUAUUGUUUCCAUUUUCUGUAUGUGUUGUGUGUGUGUGUUGUCUCUUUGUAUUGUUUACGUGUUGUUGUGUCUGUUGUUUCCAUGUUCUGUAUGUGUUGUGUGUGUGUGUUGUUUCUUUGUAUUGUUUACGUGUUGUUGUGUCUGUUGUUUCCAUGUUCCGUAUGUGUUGUGUUGUUUCUUUGUAUUGUGUACGUACGUGUUGUUGUGUCUAUUGUUUCCAUGUUCCGUAUGUGUUGUGUGUGUUUUCUCUCUGUUGUCUCUUAGUAUUGUGUACGUGUUGUUGUGUCUAUUGUUUCCAUUUUCUGUAUGUGUUGUGUGUGUGUGUUGUCUCUUCGUAUUGUUUACGUGUUGUUGUGUCUGUUGUUUCCAUGUUCUGUAUGUGUUGUGUGUGUUGUCUCUUUGUAUUGUGUACAUGUUGUUGUGUCUAUUGUUUCCAUGUUCUGUAUGUGUUGUGUGUGUUGUCUCUUUGUAUUGUGUACGUACGUGUUGUUGUGUCUAUUAUUUCCAUGUUCCGUAUGUGUUGUGUGUGUUUUCUCUCUGUUGUCUCUUCGUAUUGUGUACGUGUUGUUGUGUCUAUUGUUUUCAUGUUCUGAGGGUGUUGUGUGUUGUCCCUGUGUUUUGUCUGUGCUGUCUCUUUUUAUUGUGUUUGCAGGAGGAAGCAGCUGUGUUUUUACACAAUACCUGGAAGUUGUUUUGUGUCAUAUUGUCACCCUGUCUGUGGUCACGUGAUGUGUUUUUUUCAUGAUAAUUGCUUUAGUGUAGUUGGAGUUCACACAUGCACACAAACACACACAACCUCUGUAGAAGUGUGUGACUCUCAUUUAUCAAGCUGACCGCAGUCUGUCAUCAGAUCACAGAAAAAAGUGAAGUUUCUCCAGCCGAGCGUGAGCAGACCACCUCUCAUGGACGCUGUUGAAAGAAACCUCUCUAUGUUAUGCUCUUGUGCUUUCAGUGCUCGUACCUGAACCCGUUUGAGAGCACCCAUACGUUCUAAAGUUCACCCUGAGAAACGAGUGUGAGGAGGGAGAUGAUCUGGUUGUCAUUCAGUGGUCUGACGUGUUUUGUGUUUGUCUGGCCGUGGGGAAAACUGAUGUGUGAUGGCUGCCAGAUGCAGCUACUGAUGAGUGUGUGUUGUGUAUCGGCAGUCAGAGUUUUCCAGCCUGAUUCAUCUCACACACGAGUGCUGACGGUGAUGUCAUCGGCCAACCUGCUAUUGGUUUCAUCCCUCUGACCGCAAACAGGAAAACCCUGGAGCUGAGAGAUGUGACAUCAGCGCUGUUGUGUCAGUGGAGCGGCGGCGGCGUGAGAGAGCUCGUGAUGUCACCUGCGGCUGCUGGUUCUCUGCGCAGCGAGCGUGACUAUGAGAGCGUGGUGCUGAUGAGACUGAGACAGGCCGAAGAAAGAAAGACAUUGAUCGAGCAGAUGAAGAGAGAGGAAGAGGACGAGAGGGCAUGACCUCACA
Triplophysa dalaica is the source of this 3049-nucleotide RNA transcript. It is a transcript of the gene named DnaJ (Hsp40) homolog, subfamily C, member 17, with no coding region annotated. The transcript has 3 exons. The record is from RefSeq and is a predicted model, not a curated record. NCBI's taxonomy places the organism in Eukaryota, Metazoa, Chordata, Actinopteri, Cypriniformes, Nemacheilidae.